GAGGGUCUAUGUCGACUUGGCGGUUGUGCCCUUGAGGCGUGGCUUCCGGAGCUAACGCGUUAAGUCGACCGCCUGGGGAGUACGGCCGCAAGGUUAAAACUCAAAUGAAUUGACGGGGGCCCGCACAAGCGGUGGAGCAUGUGGUUUAAUUCGAUGCAACGCGAAGAACCUUACCUGGUCUUGACAUCCACAGAACUUUCCAGAGAUGGAUUGGUGCCUUCGGGAACUGUGAGACAGGUGCUGCAUGGCUGUCGUCAGCUCGUGUUGUGAAAUGUUGGGUUAAGCCCCGCAACGAAAA
Molecule: ribosomal RNA, 298 nt
Filed under: Escherichia coli
Lineage: Bacteria; Pseudomonadati; Pseudomonadota; Gammaproteobacteria; Enterobacterales; Enterobacteriaceae
Description: partial 16S ribosomal RNA
Rfam family: Bacterial small subunit ribosomal RNA
Source: RNAcentral